This 1839-nucleotide ribosomal RNA is filed under the name Triticum aestivum (bread wheat). Its description in RNAcentral is "partial small subunit ribosomal RNA". The record is from RNAcentral. Lineage: Eukaryota; Viridiplantae; Streptophyta; Magnoliopsida; Poales; Poaceae.
AUGGCGGCGGCCGGCCUCGCGCUCUCGCUCUCGCUGCGCCCCGCGCAGCCGUCGGCGCGCGUGCCGAGGAGGGCUCUCCCGCCGCCUCUGCCACCCCCGCAGGGGCGCCUCGCCGUCGGCUGCCGCGCGAGCGCGCUUGCCUCGCCGCCGCUGUCGCCCCUCGCGCGCCCCGGCGUCGCGUGCCGCGCCGCCACCGCCUUCCAGAAGCUCGACGCCGUCGCGGUGCGGGAGGAGGAGGAGGCCUUCAGGUCGGGGGCGGCGGCGGGGCACACGCUGCUGCCCCUCCAGCGCUGCAUCUUCUCCGACCACCUCACGCCGGUGCUCGCCUACCGCUGCCUCGUCCGGGAGGACGACCGCGAGGCGCCCAGCUUCCUCUUCGAGUCCGUGGAGCAGGCCUCCGAGGGCACCAAUGUGGGGAGGUACAGUGUGGUGGGGGCGCAGCCGGCCAUGGAGAUCGUGGCCAAGGCCAACCAGGUGACGGUCAUGGACCACGAGAUGAGGACCAAGGAGGAGCAGUACGCGGCUGACCCCAUGACCGUCCCAAGGGACAUCAUGGCGCAGUGGAAUCCGCAGAUUACAGUUGAUGGCCUGCCUGAUGCCUUCUGUGGAGGAUGGGUUGGAUUCUUCUCAUAUGAUACGGUGCGUUAUGUUGAGACAAAGAAGCUUCCGUUUUCUAAGGCGCCAGAGGAUGAUAGGAACCUUCCUGACAUUCAUUUAGGCCUCUACAAUGACGUGGUCGUGUUUGAUCAUGUUGAAAAGAAAACACAUGUUAUUCAUUGGGUGAGAUUGGACUGCUAUCACUCAAUUGAUGAAGCAUAUGAAGAUGGGAAAAAUCGGUUGGAAGCUCUGUUAUCAAGAUUGCAUAGCAGUAAUGUCCCAACCCUUUCUGCUGGUUCCAUUAAGCUUAACGUUGGGCAAUUCGGCUCAGCACUACAGAAAUCAACAAUGUCUAGCGAGGACUACAAGAAGUCUGUUGUGCAAGCAAAAGAACACAUUCUAGCAGGUGAUAUUUUUCAAGUAGUACUAAGCCAACGUUUUGAGAGACGUACAUUCGCCGACCCUUUUGAGGUGUAUCGCGCAUUGCGUAUUGUCAAUCCUAGCCCUUAUAUGGCCUAUCUACAGGCACGAGGUUGUAUUCUCGUAGCAUCAAGUCCUGAGAUUCUUACUCGGGUCGCAAAGAGGACAGUUGUCAAUCGACCUCUUGCUGGAACAAUCAGGAGAGGAAAAACAAAAGAUGAAGACAAGGUUCUAGAACAGCUCCUGUUGAGUGACGAAAAACAACGUGCCGAGCACAUUAUGCUGGUAGAUCUUGGUCGGAAUGAUGUUGGAAAGGUGUCCAAACCAGGAACAGUAAAGGUGGAGAAAUUGAUGAAUAUUGAGCGAUAUUCGCAUGUCAUGCACAUUAGCUCGACGGUUACUGGGGAGCUGCGUGACGAACUUACAUGUUGGGAUGCCCUGCGAGCUGCAUUGCCUGUUGGAACCGUCAGUGGUGCUCCCAAGGUGAGAGCGAUGGAGCUGAUCGACGAGAUGGAAGUGACGAUGCGCGGGCCAUACAGUGGUGGCUUUGGCCAGAUCUCCUUCCGCGGUGACAUGGACAUCGCUCUCGCCCUGCGCACCAUUGUCUUCCCGACGGCGUCCCGGUUCGACACCAUGUACUCGUAUGGCACAGACAGCAGCAACGCGCGCCAGGAGUGGGUGGCGCACAUCCAGACCGGCGCCGGGAUCGUCGCCGACAGUAAGCCGGACGAUGAGCAGCAGGAGUGCCAGAACAAGGCCGCCGGGCUCGCUCGCGCAAUCGAUCUCGCCGAGUCGACGUUCCUGGACUUGUCCGACGCAUAG